Vulpes vulpes (red fox) is the source of this 68-nucleotide small nucleolar RNA. Ensembl annotates it as small nucleolar RNA SNORD49. Lineage: Eukaryota; Metazoa; Chordata; Mammalia; Carnivora; Canidae. The record is from Ensembl.
UGCUCUGAUCAAAUCAUGAUUAGGAAGUGACAUCAGCAGGGAUCACUGACGAUAAUUCCUGGCCGAUA